RNAcentral lists this ribosomal RNA (735 nucleotides) under uncultured bacterium. Its description in RNAcentral is "bacterial SSU rRNA". It matches the Rfam family "Bacterial small subunit ribosomal RNA", at positions 28 to 776 of the family's 1533-position model. The record is from RNAcentral.
GACGAACGCUGGCGGCGCUUCUAACACAUGCAAGUCGAACGAGCGAGAGAGAGCUUGCUUUCUCAAGCGAGUGGCGAACGGGUGAGUAACGCGUGAGGAACCUGCCUCAAAGAGGGGGACAACAGUUGGAAACGACUGCUAAUACCGCAUAAGCCCACAGGUCGGCAUCGACCAGAGGGAAAAGGAGCAAUCCGCUUUGAGAUGGCCUCGCGUCCGAUUAGCUAGUUGGUGAGGUAACGGCCCACCAAGGCGACGAUCGGUAGCCGGACUGAGAGGUUGAACGGCCACAUUGGGACUGAGACACGGCCCAGACUCCUACGGGAGGCAGCAGUGGGGAAUAUUGCACAAUGGGGGAAACCCUGAUGCAGCGACGCCGCGUGGAGGAAGAAGGUCUUCGGAUUGUAAACUCCUGUUGUUGAGGAAGAUAAUGACGGUACUCAACAAGGAAGUGACGGCUAACUACGUGCCAGCAGCCGCGGUAAAACGUAGGUCACGAGCGUUGUCCGGAAUUACUGGGUGUAAAGGGAGCGCAGGCGGGAAGACAAGUUGGAAGUGGAAUCUAUGGGCUCAACCCAUAAACUGCUUUCAAAACUGUUUUUCUUGAGUAGUGCAGAGGUAGGCGGAAUUCCCGGUGUAGCGGUGGAAUGCGUAGAUAUCGGGAGGAACACCAGUGGCGAAGGCGGCCUACUGGGCACCAACUGACGCUGAGGCUCGAAAGUGUGGGUAGCAAACAGG